GGCGGUUCUCAGGUGAUGCACCCCAGAAUCGGGCUCCCUCCUUUCUGGUUCAUGGUGCAUCACCUGAGAACCACA
Non-coding RNA from Myotis davidii, 75 nucleotides. The record is from Rfam. NCBI's taxonomy places the organism in Eukaryota, Metazoa, Chordata, Mammalia, Chiroptera, Vespertilionidae.